Molecule: ribosomal RNA, 1793 nt
Filed under: Ustilaginoidea virens
Lineage: Eukaryota; Fungi; Ascomycota; Sordariomycetes; Hypocreales; Clavicipitaceae
Description: bacterial SSU rRNA
Rfam family: Eukaryotic small subunit ribosomal RNA
Source: RNAcentral
UAUACGGCGAAACUGCGAAUGGCUCAUUAUAUAAGUUAUCGUUUAUUUGAUAGUAUCUUGCUACUUGGAUAACCGUGGUAAUUCUAGAGCUAAUACAUGCUAAAAAUCCCGACUUCGGAAGGGAUGUAUUUAUUAGAUUAAAAACCAAUGCCCUCUGGGCUCUCUUGGUGAAUCAUGAUAACUUCUCGAAUCGCAGGGCCUUGCGCCGGCGAUGGUUCAUUCAAAUUUCUUCCCUAUCAACUUUCGAUGUUUGGGUAGUGGCCAAACAUGGUUGCAACGGGUAACGGAGGGUUAGGGCUCGACCCCGGAGAAGGAGCCUGAGAAACGGCUACUACAUCCAAGGAAGGCAGCAGGCGCGCAAAUUACCCAAUCCCGAUCCGGGGAGGUAGUGACAAUAAAUACUGAUACAGGGCUCUUUUGGGUCUUGUAAUUGGAAUGAGUACAAUUUAAAUCCCUUAACGAGGAACAAUUGGAGGGCAAGUCUGGUGCCAGCAGCCGCGGUAAUUCCAGCUCCAAUAGCGUAUAUUAAAGUUGUUGUGGUUAAAAAGCUCGUAGUUGAACCUUGGGCCUGGCUGGCCGGUCCGCCUCACCGCGUGCACUGGUCCGGCCGGGCCUUUCCCUCUGUGGAACCCCAUGCCCUUCACUGGGUGUGGCGGGGAAACAGGACUUUUACUUUGAAAAAAUUAGAGUGCUCCAGGCAGGCCUAUGCUCGAAUACAUUAGCAUGGAAUAAUGAAAUAGGACGUGCGGUUCUAUUUUGUUGGUUUCUAGGACCGCCGUAAUGAUUAAUAGGGACAGUCGGGGGCAUCAGUAUUCAAUUGUCAGAGGUGAAAUUCUUGGAUUUAUUGAAGACUAACUACUGCGAAAGCAUUUGCCAAGGAUGUUUUCAUUAAUCAGGAACGAAAGUUAGGGGAUCGAAGACGAUCAGAUACCGUCGUAGUCUUAACCAUAAACUAUGCCGACUAGGGAUCGGACGAUGUUAUUUUUUGACUCGUUCGGCACCUUACGAGAAAUCAAAGUGCUUGGGCUCCAGGGGGAGUAUGGUCGCAAGGCUGAAACUUAAAGAAAUUGACGGAAGGGCACCACCAGGGGUAAACCUGACCUGUGAAGCCGCAGUCAACUCUGCUCCAGAAAGCCGCCCGAAAGGGUCGGUGGUGUUCCUAGGGGAGAGCUCUCCCCUAAACUAAUGGCUAGUCCUGCCGCCCGCGGCAGGGCGACACCCUCAAACUGACGGGGAACUCCUAAAGCCCUCGCUCCGGACAGGCGUCGGGAAACCGACGGCCUGCUCACCAGGCUAACGACCUCGGGUAUCGGAAGCAACGCGAGAGGAUGCUACAAUGGACAAUCCGCAGCCAAGCCCCUACGGUGCGGCCUCUACGGGGGUCGCAUACGGGGAAGGUUCAGAGACUUGACGGGGGUGGGUGGCGCGGGCUCUUGGGGUGCAAGCCGCGUGCUUGCUUGCAGGCCCAGGCGCCCGCCGCUGCCUAAGAUAAAGUCCGGGCGUGCGCGAAAGCGUGCGCGGCAACCACGCAACCCGCCGUUUCCAGCGGGUGCGAGGCCCCAGAAGUAAAAACAACCGGGAGCCUGCGGCUUAAUUUGACUCAACACGGGGAAACUCACCAGGUCCAGACACAAUGAGGAUUGACAGAUUGAGAGCUCUUUCUUGAUUUUGUGGGUGGUGGUGCAUGGCCGUUCUUAGUUGGUGGAGUGAUUUGUCUGCUUAAUUGCGAUAACGAACGAGACCUUAACCUGCUAAAUAGCCCGUAUUGCUUUGGCAGUACGCCGGCUCUUAGA